This 571-nucleotide long non-coding RNA is filed under the name Bos taurus (domestic cattle). RNAcentral describes it as "long non-coding RNA NONBTAT024519". The record is from RNAcentral. Lineage: Eukaryota; Metazoa; Chordata; Mammalia; Artiodactyla; Bovidae.
UCAUCCAUUACUUGAUGUCUUUUGAACUUUGAGAAAAUAUAGGUUGAGUCCCUUCUCUUAUUAAAAAUAUGUAUUUCUUCCAUCUCAUUUUUUCCAAAAAAGCUUUUAUGAUAGUGUCUGUUUAUAAUUUAUUCUUUUUGUUUUAUAUGGGCUUUAGAAGUUUUUUAAGUGACCAUAUUGUCACCACUUUCAAAGUUAGACUUUUCAAAAUAGAAAAAUCUAAAUUUCUUCCAGUUUUCUUUUGCUUUUUCUAUUUUUCUUUAAUGUUCUGCUUAACAAUAAUAUUUCUAAGUUCUAAUCUAAAUUUAUGAGAUACCUCAAAUCAGGGAGAUAUAUAUAGAUAUAUAUAUACACACAUACUCCUCUUUAUGAUGUCUAUGUGAUAGGAUUGGUUUUCAGUACUUUAGAAAGUAUGUCACUUUAUCUCUUUCCCACUGUUGAAAGAACUGCCAUCAAAACCUCCUGGGUCAUGAUCUCAUGGUUUGGACAGCCAGAACUCUUCUGGUUACUUAAGAUGUUCAUAUUUCUAAGCAUUUCCACUUAGUUAUGUCUCUCUAAAAUUUCAUUAUUA